Molecule: ribosomal RNA, 546 nt
Filed under: uncultured bacterium
Lineage: Bacteria
Description: bacterial SSU rRNA
Rfam family: Bacterial small subunit ribosomal RNA
Source: RNAcentral
UGGGGAAUAUUGCACAAUGGGCGCAAGCCUGAUGCAGCGACGCCGCGUGAGGGAUGAAGGCCUUCGGGUUGUAAACCUCUUUCGUCAGGGAACAAGGCACCGUCUUUUGGUGGUGUUGAGGGUACCUGGAUAAGAAGCGCCGGCUAACUACGUGCCAGCAGCCGCGGUAAUACGUAGGGCGCAAGCGUUGUCCGGAAUUAUUGGGCGUAAAGAGCUCGUAGGCGGCUGGUCGCGUCUGUCGUGAAAACUUCCGGCUCAACCGGGGGCUUGCGGUGGGUACGGGCCGGCUAGAGUGCGGUAGGGGUAACUGGAACUCCUGGUGUAGCGGUGGAAUGCGCAGAUAUCAGGAAGAACACCGAUGGCGAAGGCAGGUUACUGGGCCGUUACUGACGCUGAGGAGCGAAAGCGUGGGGAGCGAACAGGAUUAGAUACCCUGGUAGUCCACGCUGUAAACGUUGGGCACUAGGUGUGAGGCUCCUUUCCGGGGGUUUUGCGCCGUAGCUAACGCAUUAAGUGCCCCGCCUGGGGAGUACGGCCGCAAGGCUA